This 460-nucleotide ribosomal RNA is filed under the name uncultured bacterium. RNAcentral describes it as "partial 16S ribosomal RNA". It matches the Rfam family "Bacterial small subunit ribosomal RNA", at positions 338 to 795 of the family's 1533-position model. The record is from RNAcentral.
CCUACGGGGGGCAGCAGUGAGGAAUAUUGGUCAAUGGCCGUAAGGCUGAACCAGCCAAGUCGCGUGAAGGAAGAAGGAUCUAUGGUUUGUAAACUUCUUUUAUAGGGGAAUAAAGGUAUCCACGUGUGGAUAUUUGCAUGUACCCUAUGAAUAAGCAUCGGCUAACUCCGUGCCAGCAGCCGCGGUAAUACGGAGGAUGCGAGCGUUAUCCGGAUUUAUUGGGUUUAAAGGGUGCGUAGGUUGUUUUUUAAGUCAGCGGUGAAAGUUUGUGGCUCAACCAUAAAAUUGCCGUUGAAACUGGCAGACUUGAGUGUGUUUGAGGUAGGCGGAAUGCGUGGUGUAGCGGUGAAAUGCAUAGAUAUCACGCAGAACUCCGAUUGCGAAGGCAGCUUACUAAGCCAUAACUGACACUGAAGCACGAAAGCGUGGGGAUCGAACAGGAUUAGAUACCCCGGUAGUC